RNAcentral lists this ribosomal RNA (457 nucleotides) under uncultured bacterium. Its description in RNAcentral is "partial 16S ribosomal RNA". It matches the Rfam family "Bacterial small subunit ribosomal RNA", at positions 338 to 795 of the family's 1533-position model. The record is from RNAcentral.
CCUACGGGUGGCUGCAGUGGGGAAUAUUGCACAAUGGGGGAAACCCUGAUGCAGCGACGCCGCGUGAGUGAAGAAGUAUUUCGGUACGUAAAGCUCUAUCAGCAGGGAAGAAAAAAAGUCCUUUGGACUUUGGACGGUACCUGACUAAGAAGCCCCGGCUAACUACGUGCCAGCAGCCGCGGUAAUCCGUAGGGGGCAAGCGUUAUCCGGAUUUACUGGGUGGAAAGGGAGCGUAGACGGCAGCGCAAGUCUGGAGUGAAAUGCCGGGGCCCAACCCCGGGACUGCUCUUGGAACUGCGUGGCUAGAGUGCAGGAGGGGCAGGCGGAAUUCCUGGUGUAGCGGUGAAAUGCGUAGAUAUCAGGAGGAACACCGGUGGCGAAGGCGGCCUGCUGGACUGCAACUGACGUUGAGGCCCGAAAGCGUGGGGAGCAAACAGGAUUAGAUACCCCAGUAGUC